GUUUCUCUUUCUUCAGAUGAUGAUCCCAAGCCUUCUGGCGAUCUCUUAAAACAAAGCCUAAUCCUGUUUUUAGCAAACAGGACGUUUAGAUAUAUGUUUAAAUUCUUAUGAAACUUAAAAAUCACGAAUUUAAAAAAGGCUUUUUGAAGAAAGCACUUUAAGCUUUUCCAGCGAUUUAAGAUGAUACCGGGGAAGGUUUUCCGGUUUAUCCCGGAGGGCUUGUAGCUCAGUUGGUUAGAGCGCGCGCUUGAUAAGCGUGAGGUCGGAGGUUCAAGUCCUCCCAGGCCCACCAAUUUAUGCUCGUUUUUUGCUUAUCCAAGAGUGUGAAGCUUAAGCGUAUUAAAGCCUCUUCAAUCUUUGUGUGUUUUAAAGAUUUAAUUUUCUUAUCCAAAGAUUGUCUGGUAAGUUUAUCCUAUUAAGUUCAUCGAAGAGGAUUUUAAAAUCCCUUCAAAGGUAUAAAAGAAUUUAAAAGGGUAUAGAGGAAUUUAAAUGAUGCCAAUCAAAAUAGUCCAAGUCAUUCAAGUUGAUGAAUAUACUUGAGGUUGAUGUGAGAGAGCAUUAUUUAGGGGCCGUAGCUCAGCUGGGAGAGCACCUGCUUUGCAAGCAGGGGGUUGUCGGUUCGAUCCCGUCCGGCUCCACCACUUUAGGUUCAUCAGCAUGUGUAAUUCCCAUUUUUGCGUGCAUCGUUUU
RNAcentral lists this transfer RNA (690 nucleotides) under Candidatus Bartonella thailandensis. Its description in RNAcentral is "partial 16S-23S ribosomal RNA intergenic spacer". The stretch from base 216 to 289 matches the Rfam family "tRNA". Lineage: Bacteria; Pseudomonadati; Pseudomonadota; Alphaproteobacteria; Hyphomicrobiales; Bartonellaceae. The record is from RNAcentral.